UUAUAAACAAACACAAUAUAUUAAAAUAUUAAAUAAUUAAAUUUUAAUUAAUUUUCAGCAUUAAAUAAGAGACUACAUCUAAUAAGUUCAUAUUCAAGAAUCAAUCAUAUGGAGGAUCGAUUGGAGGGAUAUUUGAUUGAACUUCUUCUUAUGGAGGAGAUGACAACUACUCAGAUGAUGUAAAAUCAAGACUAGAAAUAAGGCAUCGCAGCAUCUUUUUAUGUUGAGGAUUCAUCAAAGCUGCUAUAAUAUACUUCCGUGUCAUCUCCAUAGCAUCUCCAUAGCUCCUGGAGUAGCAGAAUAAGUAGUAGAUGUAGUCCCUGAAAGAUCAUCAGAGCAUGGUGUAGCAGUCUUCGUGAGUAUGUUGGAUGAAUGUGCAUUCGACUCAAAUUCAUACAUUUUGUUUUUAAAAAUACCUCCUGUAGCUUCUACCCAUACAGUAGCAUCAAAUGAAGGCUG
Molecule: long non-coding RNA, 459 nt
Filed under: Elaeis guineensis (African oil palm)
Lineage: Eukaryota; Viridiplantae; Streptophyta; Magnoliopsida; Arecales; Arecaceae
Description: long non-coding RNA (EGUI_LNC043610)
Source: RNAcentral